Molecule: non-coding RNA, 27 nt
Filed under: Homo sapiens (human)
Lineage: Eukaryota; Metazoa; Chordata; Mammalia; Primates; Hominidae
Source: RNAcentral
UGCUAAUGUUGCAUAGUGGAAUAAGGG